GAUGAACGCUGGCGGCGUGCCUAAUACAUGCAAGUCGAGCGAACAGAUGAGGAGCUUGCUCCUCUGACGUUAGCGGCGGACGGGUGAGUAACACGUGGAUAACCUACCUAUAAGACUGGGAUAACUUCGGGAAACCGGAGCUAAUACCGGAUAAUAUAUUGAACCGCAUGGUUCAAUAGUGAAAGACGGUUUUGCUGUCACUUAUAGAUGGAUCCGCGCCGCAUUAGCUAGUUGGUAAGGUAACGGCUUACCAAGGCAACGAUGCGUAGCCGACCUGAGAGGGUGAUCGGCCACACUGGAACUGAGACACGGUCCAGACUCCUACGGGAGGCAGCAGUAGGGAAUCUUCCGCGAUGGGCGAAAGCCUGACGGAUCAACGCCGCGUGAGUGAUGAAGGUCUUCGGAUCGUAAAACUCUGUUAUUAGGGAAGAACAAAUGUGUAAGUAACUAUUCACGUCUUGACGGUACCUAAUCAGAAAGCCACGGCUAACUACGUG
Molecule: ribosomal RNA, 497 nt
Filed under: uncultured bacterium
Lineage: Bacteria
Description: partial 16S ribosomal RNA
Rfam family: Bacterial small subunit ribosomal RNA
Source: RNAcentral